This 422-nucleotide ribosomal RNA is filed under the name uncultured bacterium. RNAcentral describes it as "bacterial SSU rRNA". It matches the Rfam family "Bacterial small subunit ribosomal RNA", at positions 357 to 775 of the family's 1533-position model. The record is from RNAcentral.
AGGAAUAUUGGUCAAUGGGCGUAAGCCUGAACCAGCCAAGUCGCGUGAGGGAGGACGGCCCUACGGGUUGUAAACCUCUUUUGCCGGGGGACAAACGGCGGCACGCGUGCCGUCCUGAGGGUACCCGGAGAAAAAGCAUCGGGUAACUCCGUGCCAGCAGCCGCGGUAAUACGGAGGAUGCGAGCGUUAUCCGGAUUUAUUGGGUUUAAAGGGUGCGUAGGCUGUGAGGUAAGUCAGCGGUGAAAUGCCCCCGCUCAACGGGGUGAAGUGCCAUUGAUACUGCCUUGCUGGAAUGCGGAUGCCGUGGGAGGAAUGUGUGGUGUAGCGGUGAAAUGCAUAGAUAUCACACAGAACACCGAUUGCGAAGGCAUCUCACGAAUCCGCGAUUGACGCUGAUGCACGAAAGCGUGGGUAUCAAACAG